This is a long non-coding RNA of Temnothorax curvispinosus, 474 nucleotides long. RefSeq lists it as uncharacterized. The transcript is spliced from 3 exons. NCBI's taxonomy places the organism in Eukaryota, Metazoa, Arthropoda, Insecta, Hymenoptera, Formicidae. The record is from RefSeq and is a predicted model, not a curated record.
UCUUGCACUGUUUUUCGCGGCUUACACAUCAAACGAUAACGAUAUAUAAACGAUGCGUAAGACGUAGACAGCACAAUUCGAGUUCCGUUGCAGUCAGACUGAGAAAAAUAUAUUCAACAUGAGGUUCGCAAUAUACAUCGUAAUGCUGUUAGUUGCAAUCUGCGCGCUGUUUGCCGAUACCCAUGCACUCCCGAAACACAGACCUCGCUUACCAAGCGGCCCUGGCUAUGGCCCAUUUAAUCCUCGACAAUCUUGGCCAGUGCCAGUACCGUUGCCAAAUUUUGGCCGUUAAUAACCUGGAUGGUAUCGAAGUUUUAACUACUAAAGAUUAUGAUUCUAAAAACAGACUUUGUCCCGCUAUUUCAGAUAUUUUAUUCAUUCCCAGUAAAAAUUGGAAACUAAUAUGUGUUGUAAAACUUUUUCAUAUACAUUUAUAUCUGUACAUUAUAUAAAUAAAAUGUAUUUAUUAUUGUA